RNAcentral lists this ribosomal RNA (732 nucleotides) under Triticum aestivum (bread wheat). RNAcentral's name for it is "partial small subunit ribosomal RNA". The record is from RNAcentral. Lineage: Eukaryota; Viridiplantae; Streptophyta; Magnoliopsida; Poales; Poaceae.
AUGCACACCACCGUUUUAUGCACACGUUUAGAAUUGCUCGACAGAGUCUUUGUACUCCUGGUGUUUCUACGGUUUCGAUUCAUUUUUUGGGCGACAUGGCGGUGCCCAUGGUUUUCUGGCCCUACCGCUUCCGAGGUUGUUGCUCUUAUUGUUGGUAAUCUCACACCUGAAUGCAGAAGAUUUGACGUGAUUGCCGAGACGCGGUCUGGUUCAUUGAAACAUAUAUCUUCACUUAAUUGCAAUCUUAUGGCUCUUCAGUAUCCUCUACUUUUUCCAUAUGGUGAUAAGAGUUAUCACCGUGGUAUUAGAUAUGUUCAUGCUAAUGGUUCUUUGGCCACAUCUGAUGCAAAUGUGCAAGCUAAAAGAUAUAUGGACGACCAAGAUUCUGACGAUGAUGCCGACUGUGAUUCCGAGGAUGUGGAUGCUUCUCGUGGACAGGUUACCAUGUCGGAGUAUUAUAAGUACUAUGCUCACUAUCGUGAAGGUGAGGUCAAUCCUUACACAAGUUGUGGCUGGCUGAGUCAGCAGAUUGCCAUUAAUGCUUACUCUUGCAUAGAGGCUGAUCGUCUAGAGUACCAUUUCCGUAAGCAAGAUAAUAUUCGAUCUGAGACCUAUCAGGGCAUAUCUGACGCUUUGGGUGAAGGUGACAAGAGAUUGCAGAUGCUCUUGCUGCCGAACCUGGCCAGACUGCUGCUGACUAGCCUGAUAUUACUACUCGAGUAUUUAGUAUGA